This is a small nucleolar RNA of Manis pentadactyla (Chinese pangolin), 135 nucleotides long. RefSeq annotates it as small nucleolar RNA SNORA9. The record is from RefSeq and is a predicted model, not a curated record. NCBI's taxonomy places the organism in Eukaryota, Metazoa, Chordata, Mammalia, Pholidota, Manidae. The transcript has a single exon.
UUGCAAGCCUUCCAGCAUGUUUGGUUUUAGGAUAACUCAGUGCAUUCCUGCAGUGCUUGCUAAAAUGUUCUGAAAUGAUUUGAAGCUUUGCUCUGGCUCUUCCUUAGAGCCUGGUCAUAGACAUUUCAGAUCGUU